Molecule: ribosomal RNA, 154 nt
Filed under: Cornus controversa
Lineage: Eukaryota; Viridiplantae; Streptophyta; Magnoliopsida; Cornales; Cornaceae
Description: 5.8S ribosomal RNA
Rfam family: 5.8S ribosomal RNA
About the family: 5.8S ribosomal RNA (5.8S rRNA) is a component of the large subunit of the eukaryotic ribosome. It is transcribed by RNA polymerase I as part of the 45S precursor that also contains 18S and 28S rRNA.
Source: RNAcentral
ACUCUCGACGACGGAUAUCUCGGCUCUCGCAUCGAUGAAAAACGUAGUGAAAUGCGAUACUUGGUGUGAAUUGCAGAAUCCCGUGAACCAUCGAGUCUUUGAACGCAAGUUGCGCCCGAAGCCGUCAGGCCGAGGGCACGUCUGCCUGGGCGUC